Molecule: ribosomal RNA, 481 nt
Filed under: uncultured organism
Description: SSU rRNA
Rfam family: Bacterial small subunit ribosomal RNA
Source: RNAcentral
GAACGCUGGCGGCGUGCUUAAUACAUGCAAGUCGAACGAAGCACUUUCAGCGGAGAUCUUCGGAUCGAAGCCGGUUGUGACUUAGUGGCGGACGGGUGAGUAACGCGUGGGUAACCUGCCUUAUACAGGGGGAUAACAGUUAGAAAUGACUGCUAAUACCCCAUAAGCGCACGACAUCGCAUGAUGAUGUGUGAAAAGAUUUAUCGGUAUAAGAUGGACCCGCGUCUGAUUAGUUAGUUGGUGGGGUAACGGCCUACCAAGACGACGAUCAGUAGCCGACUUGAGAGAGUGAUCGGCCACAUUGGGACUGAGACACGGCCCAGACUCCUACGGGAGGCAGCAGUAGGGAAUAUUGCACAAUGGGGGAAACCCUGAUGCAGCGACGCCGCGUGAGUGAUUGAAGUAUUUCGGUAUGUAAAGCUCUAUCAGCAGGGAAGAUAAUGACGGUACCUGCAUAAGAAGCCCCGGCUAACUACGUGCC